Molecule: ribosomal RNA, 197 nt
Filed under: Listeria monocytogenes
Lineage: Bacteria; Bacillati; Bacillota; Bacilli; Caryophanales; Listeriaceae
Description: partial 23S ribosomal RNA
Rfam family: Bacterial large subunit ribosomal RNA
Source: RNAcentral
CCAGGAGCAUCGCUGGGUAGCUAUGUGUGGCAGGGAUAAACGCUGAAAGCAUCUAAGCGUGAAGCCCCCCUCAAGAUGAGAUUUCCCAUUUCUUCGGAAAGUAAGAUCCCUGAAAGAUGAUCAGGUAGAUAGGUUUGGAGUGGAAGUGUAGCGAUACAUGGAGCGGACAAAUACUAAUCGAUCGAGGACUUAACCAA